UAACCCUCACUCUGUUGAUUUAAUAGUCACCAGAUUGGAUUUGGAUGCUGCUGUUGCCAGCUCAUCCUGAAAUGCAUUAGCUAGUGCCCUUUAGAGUGCUAGGCAUGGUGUGAUAAUUAUCUGCGCCGUCGCCCAAAGCCUCUUCUGUGGAGCGCUGCUUCUAGACGUCCCACUGGGACAAUGACACAAAG
RNAcentral lists this unclassified non-coding RNA (191 nucleotides) under uncultured Auriculariales. Its description in RNAcentral is "sequence contains ITS2". Lineage: Eukaryota; Fungi; Basidiomycota; Agaricomycetes; Auriculariales. The record is from RNAcentral.